UCAGGAUCACGCUGGCGGCGUGCCUAACACAUGCAAGUCGAACGCCCUUAGCAAUAAGGGAGUGGCGGACGGGUGAGUAACGCGUGGGUCAUCUACCUUGAGGUGAGGAAUACCGGCGAGAAAUCGCCGACAAUACCGCAUACGUUCCACAAGAAACAAAGCUCCUUUCGGGGGGCGCCACAAGAUGAGCCCGCGUCCGAUUAGCCUGUUGGUGGGGUAAUGGCCUACCAAAGCUUCGAUCGGUAGCUGGUCUGAGAGGACGAGCAGCCACACUGGGAUUGAGAACGGCCCAGACUCCUACGGGGGGCAGCAGUGAAGAAUUUUCGGCAAUGGGGGCAACCCUGACCGAGCAACGCCGCGUUGCAGGAUGACGGCCUUCGGGUUGUAAACUGCUUUUCUGUGGGACGAGAAUGGACGGUACCACAGGAAGAAGCCCCGGCUAACUACGUGCCAGCAGCCGCGGUAAUACGUACGGGGCGAGCGUUAUCCGGAGUUACUGGGCGUAAAGCGCGCGCAGGCGGUGCCUUAAGUUUGGGGUGACAGUUUCCGGCUUAACCGGGAAAGGACCUCGAACACUGGGACACUUGAGGGCUUCAGAGGGAGACGGAAUUCCGGGUGGAGUGGUGAAAUGCGUAGAUAUCCGGAGGAACACCAAAGGCGAAGGCAGUCUCCUGGGAAGUUCCUGACGCUCAGGCGCGAAAGCCAGGGGAGCGAACGGGAUUAGAUACCCCGGUAGUCCUGGCCGUAAACGAUGACCACUAGAUGUGCGGGGUAUCGACCCCCUGCGUGUCGGCACUAACGUAUUAAGUGGUCCGCCUGGGGAGUACGGUCGCAAGAUUAAAACUCAAAGGAAUUGACGGGGACCCGCACAAGCAGCGGAGCGUGUGGUUUAAUUCGAUGCAACGCGAAGAACCUUACCAGGGCUUGACAUGUGCCUGAGCGCACGAGAGAUCGUGUUUCCUUCGGGACAGGUGCACAGGUGCUGCAUGGCUGUCGUCAGCUCGUGCCGUGAGGUGUUGGGUUAAGUCCCGCAACGAGCGCAACCCCUAUGGCUAGUUACACGUUUCUAGUCAGACUGCCUCGAUCAACGGGGAGGAAGGUGGGGAUGACGUCAAGUCAGCACGGCCCUUACGUCCUGGGCGACACACACGCUACAAUGGCCGGUACAACGAGUUGCCAACCCGUGAGGGGGAGCCAAUCUCAGCAAAGCCGGUCUCAGUUCAGAUUGAAGGCUGCAACCCGCCUUCAUGAAGUUGGAGUUGCUAGUAACCGUGAGUCAGCACAUCACGGUGAAUACAUAUCCCGGUGCUGUACACAC
Molecule: ribosomal RNA, 1318 nt
Filed under: uncultured bacterium
Lineage: Bacteria
Description: bacterial SSU rRNA
Rfam family: Bacterial small subunit ribosomal RNA
Source: RNAcentral